Molecule: ribosomal RNA, 481 nt
Filed under: uncultured bacterium
Lineage: Bacteria
Description: partial 16S ribosomal RNA
Rfam family: Bacterial small subunit ribosomal RNA
Source: RNAcentral
GACGAACGCUGGCGGCGUGCUUAACACAUGCAAGUCGAGCGGAAAGGCCACUUCGGUGGUACUCGAGCGGCGAACGGGUGAGUAACACGUGAGUAAUCUGCCCCUGGCUUUGGGAUAACCACCGGAAACGGUGAUUAAUACCGGAUACGACCACUUCUCGCAUGGGAUGGUGGUGGAAAGUCUUUUCGGCCAGGGAUGUGCUCGCGGCCUAUCAGCUUGAUGGUGAGGUAAUGGCUCACCAUGGCUUCGACGGGUAGCCGGCCUGAGAGGGUGACCGGUCACACUGGGACUGAGACACGGCCCAGACUCCUACGGGAGGCAGCAGUGGGGAAUAUUGGACAAUGGGCGGAAGCCUGAUCCAGCAACGCCGCGUGAGGGAUGACGGCCUUCGGGUUGUAAACCUCUUUCAGCAGGGACGAAGCGCAAGUGACGGUACCUGCAGAAGGAGCACCGGCCAACUACGUGCCAGCCGCCGCCGUAA